RNAcentral lists this ribosomal RNA (760 nucleotides) under Dipsastraea pallida. RNAcentral's name for it is "partial large subunit ribosomal RNA". Lineage: Eukaryota; Metazoa; Cnidaria; Anthozoa; Scleractinia; Merulinidae. The record is from RNAcentral.
AUUAAUAAGCGGAGGAAAAGAAACUAACAAGGAUUCCCUCAGUAACGGCGAGUGAAGCGGGAAGAGCUCAAAUUUGAAAUCUCCGGUGCUUGCAYCGGCGAGUUGUAGUUGCGAGAAGCACUUUCUAGGUGGAUCGGCGGUGCCUAAGUUGCUUGGAACAGCACGUCGCAGAGGGUGACAACCCCGUCUGUGGCGCCGCCGGCCGCUGACGAUGUGCUUUCGAAGAGUCGGGUUGUUUGGGAAUGCAGCCCAAAAUGGGUGGUAAACUCCAUCUAAAGCUAAAUACUGGCGUGAGACCGAUAGCGAACAAGUACCGUGAGGGAAAGAUGAAAAGAACUUUGAAAAGAGAGUUAAAAAGUACGUGAAACCGUCGGAAGGGAAACGAAUGGACUCAGCAAUGCGCCCUCUGAGAUUCAGCCGSKKGGRRGSSKUSGCSCCSGGGUUUGCGGAUCUGAAUGGACCGCGGCCCRGCGCUCGSUUCUCCCCGCCGUCGCACUUCUCUGGGGCGCGCGUCAACGUGGGUUGGGACUGGGUCUGAAAGGUGCCGGGAAGGUAGGUGUGGGCCUUCGGGUCCGUUCUGUUACAGCCCGGUUCUCUCAUGGCUCGGGCCCGACCGAGGAGCAGACAGGGCAUGCCUCCUGUGGCUAGGGUCCCGUCCUUCCGGCCGGCUGUCCAGUGUGGUGGACUGCUUGCAGUGCUCUGCGACGGCUGCCGGUCGUUGGGGUGGUGAUCUCGUACCAUGCCCUUGGGAUGUUGGCGG